AUGAAGAAAAAUGCGGAUUUUGUCCUCGCUCGAAAGCUGUCUGGACCGCUGCCUGACUGGAUAGUUAAACCCGACUUUGUAGGUCUGUCGUAUAACAACUUCACUUUAGCAAACUUUGAGCAGGAAACUUGUCAACAAGGAAGUGCAAACUUGUUUGCAUCUUCUUUGACGGGAAACAGCUUGUUCAAAAAUAAUAUUUACAAGUCUAAGAUCGUGGGAUGCUAUUGGAGAUGA
Molecule: non-coding RNA, 234 nt
Organism: Vicia faba (fava bean)
Lineage: Eukaryota; Viridiplantae; Streptophyta; Magnoliopsida; Fabales; Fabaceae
Source: the annotation of a GenBank genome assembly